This 442-nucleotide ribosomal RNA is filed under the name uncultured bacterium. RNAcentral describes it as "partial 16S ribosomal RNA". It matches the Rfam family "Bacterial small subunit ribosomal RNA", at positions 338 to 795 of the family's 1533-position model. The record is from RNAcentral.
ACUAGGGGGGCAGCAGUGGGGAAUAUUGGGCAAUGGGCGCAAGCCUGACCCAACAACGCCGCGUGAAGGAAGAAGGCUUUCGGGUUGUAAACUUCUUUUCUCAGGGACGAAGAAAGUGACGGUACCUGAGGAAUAAGCCACGGCUAACUACGUGCCAACAGCCGCGGUAAUACGUAGGUGGCAAGCGUUAUCCGGAUUUACUGGGUGUAAAGGGCGUGUAGGCGGGACUGCAAGUCAGAUGUGAAAACCACGGGCUCAACCUGUGGCCUGCAUUUGAAACUGUAGUUCUUGAGUACUGGAGAGGCAGACGGAAUUCCUAGUGUAGCGGUGAAAUGCGUAGAUAUUAGGAGGAACACCAGUGGCGAAGGCGGUCUGCUGGACAGCAACUGACGCUGAGGCGCGAAAGCGUGGGGAGCAAACAGGAUUAGAUACCCCGGUAGUC